RNAcentral lists this ribosomal RNA (1165 nucleotides) under Salmonella enterica subsp. enterica serovar Idikan. RNAcentral's name for it is "partial 23S ribosomal RNA". It matches the Rfam family "Bacterial large subunit ribosomal RNA", at positions 572 to 1735 of the family's 2925-position model. The record is from RNAcentral. Lineage: Bacteria; Pseudomonadati; Pseudomonadota; Gammaproteobacteria; Enterobacterales; Enterobacteriaceae.
AGUGGGAGCACAGGUUUACCUGUGUGACUGCGUACCUUUUGUAUAAUGGGUCAGCGACUUAUAUUCUGUAGCAAGGUUAACCGUAUAGGGGAGCCGCAGGGAAACCGAGUCUUAAUUGGGCGUUAAGUUGCAGGGUAUAGACCCGAAACCCGGUGAUCUAGCCAUGGGCAGGUUGAAGGUUGGGUAACACUAACUGGAGGACCGAACCGACUAAUGUUGAAAAAUUAGCGGAUGACCUGUGGCUGGGGGUGAAAGGCCAAUCAAACCGGGAGAUAGCUGGUUCUCCCCGAAAGCUAUUUAGGUAGCGCCUCGUGAAUUCAUCUCCGGGGGUAGAGCACUGUUUCGGCUAGGGGGCCAUCCCGGCUUACCAACCCGAUGCAAACUGCGAAUACCGGAGAAUGUUAUCACGGGAGACACACGGCGGGUGCUAACGUCCGUCGUGAAGAGGGAAACAACCCAGACCGCCAGCUAAGGUCCCAAAGUCAUGGUUAAGUGGGAAACGAUGUGGGAAGGCCCAGACAGCCAGGAUGUUGGCUUAGAAGCAGCCAUCAUUUAAAGAAAGCGUAAUAGCUCACUGGUCGAGUCGGCCUGCGCGGAAGAUGUAACGGGGCUAAACCAUGCACCGAAGCUGCGGCAGCGACGCUGAUGCGUUGUUGGGUAGGGGAGCGUUCUGUAAGCCUGUGAAGGUGGCCUGUGAGGGUUGCUGGAGGUAUCAGAAGUGCGAAUGCUGACAUAAGUAACGAUAAAGCGGGUGAAAAGCCCGCUCGCCGGAAGACCAAGGGUUCCUGUCCAACGUUAAUCGGGGCAGGGUGAGUCGACCCCUAAGGCGAGGCCGAAAGGCGUAGUCGAUGGGAAACGGGUUAAUAUUCCCGUACUUGGUGUUACUGCGAAGGGGGGACGGAGAAGGCUAUGUUGGCCGGGCGACGGUUGUCCCGGUUUAAGCGUGUAGGUGUGUGUUCCAGGUAAAUCCGGUUCACUUUAACACUGAGGCGUGAUGACGAGGCACUACGGUGCUGAAGCAACAAAUGCCCUGCUUCCAGGAAAAGCCUCUAAGCAUCAGGUAACAUCAAAUCGUACCCCAAACCGACACAGGUGGUCAGGUAGAGAAUACCAAGGCGCUUGAGAGAACUCGGGUGAAGGAACUAGGCAAAAUGGUGCCGUAACU